RNAcentral lists this non-coding RNA (117 nucleotides) under unclassified sequences. RNAcentral's name for it is "RAGATH-11 RNA". It matches the Rfam family "RAGATH-11 RNA". Rfam says of the family: RNA motif Associated with Genes Associated with Twister and Hammerhead ribozymes (RAGATH). The record is from Rfam by way of RNAcentral.
CUUUAGAAUAGAAUGGUUAAGAGUCGCUUGGUUGGGGUUCCUUGCUAGUUCUUCGUGUUCAGUUUGCAGCUUCGGCUCAGAUUAGAUACACUUGAGAAAUGAACGUAUCCCCAUGGA